GUAGGGAAUCUUGCGCAAUGGGCGAAAGCCUGACGCAGCCAUGCCGCGUGAAUGAUGAAGGUCUUAGGAUUGUAAAAUUCUUUCACCGGGGACGAUAAUGACGGUACCCGGAGAAGAAGCCCCGGCUAACUUCGUGCCAGCAGCCGCGGUAAUACGAAGGGGGCUAGCGUUGCUCGGAAUUACUGGGCGUAAAGGGAGCGUAGGCGGAUAGUUUAGUCAGAGGUGAAAGCCCAGGGCUCAACCUUGGAAUUGCCUUUGAUACUGGCUAUCUUGAGUAUGGAAGAGGUAUGUGGAACUCCGAGUGUAGAGGUGAAAUUCGUAGAUAUUCGGAAGAACACCAGUAGCGAAGGCGACAUACUGGUCCAUUACUGACGCUGAGGCUCGAAAGCGUGGGGAGCAAACAGGAUUAGAUACCCUGGUAGUCC
This 425-nucleotide ribosomal RNA is filed under the name uncultured bacterium. Its description in RNAcentral is "partial 16S ribosomal RNA". It matches the Rfam family "Bacterial small subunit ribosomal RNA", at positions 354 to 796 of the family's 1533-position model. The record is from RNAcentral.